AUUGGACGCUGGCGGCAGGCCUAACACAUGCAAGUCGAGCGGAUGAAGGGAGCUUGCUCCUGGAUUCAGCGGCGGACGGGUGAGUAAUGCCUAGGAAUCUGCCUGGUAGUGGGGGAUAACGUCCGGAAACGGGCGCUAAUACCGCAUACGUCCUGAGGGAGAAAGUGUGGGAUCUUCGGACCUCACGCUAUCAGAUGAGCCGAGGUCGGAUUAGCUAGUUGGUGGGGUAAAGGCCUACCAAGGCGACGAUCCGUAGCUGGUCUGAGAGGAUGAUCAGUCACACUGGAACUGAGACACGGUCCAGACUCCUACGGGAGGCAGCAGUGGGGAAUAUUGGACAAUGGGCGAAAGCCUGAUCCAGCCAUGCCGCGUGUGUGAAGAAGGUCUUCGGAUUGUAAAGCACUUUAAGUUGGGAGGAAGGGCAGUAAGUUAAUACCUUGCUGUUUUGACGUUACCAACAGAAUAAGCACCGGCUAACUUCGUG
This 484-nucleotide ribosomal RNA is filed under the name uncultured bacterium. RNAcentral's name for it is "partial 16S ribosomal RNA". It matches the Rfam family "Bacterial small subunit ribosomal RNA", at positions 30 to 507 of the family's 1533-position model. The record is from RNAcentral.